GACGAACGCUGGCGGCGUGCUUAACACAUGCAAGUCGAACGGAAAGGCCCUGCUGUUGUGGGGUGCUCGAGUGGCGAACGGGUGAGUAACACGUGAGUAACCUGCCCUUGACUUUGGGAUAACUUCAGGAAACUGGGGCUAAUACCGGAUAGGAGCUCCUGCUGCAUGGUGGGGGUUGGAAAGUUUCGGCGGUUGGGGAUGGACUCGCGGCUUAUCAGCUUGUUGGUGGGGUAGUGGCUUACCAAGGCUUUGACGGGUAGCCGGCCUGAGAGGGUGACCGGCCACAUUGGGACUGAGAUACGGACCAGACUCCUACGGGAGGCAGCAGUGGGGAGUAUUGCACAAUGGGCGGAAGCCUGAUGCAGCAACGCCGCGUGCGGGAUGACGGCCUUCGGGUUGUAAACCGCUUUCGCCUGUGACGAAGCGUGAGUGACGGUAAUGGGUAAAGAAGCACCGGCUAACUACGUG
This 468-nucleotide ribosomal RNA is filed under the name uncultured bacterium. RNAcentral's name for it is "partial 16S ribosomal RNA". It matches the Rfam family "Bacterial small subunit ribosomal RNA", at positions 28 to 507 of the family's 1533-position model. The record is from RNAcentral.